UACUUUGAAUCUGAUUAUGCUGCAUGAACUC
Molecule: non-coding RNA, 31 nt
Filed under: Homo sapiens (human)
Lineage: Eukaryota; Metazoa; Chordata; Mammalia; Primates; Hominidae
Source: RNAcentral